UUUAUAGACUGCCGUCUGCUCCAAGGAGCGGGGGCUCGAUGAUGACUGGCAGUAGCCACUGAGGCAAGGUGGGGAUAGAGGGUUGGGGGUUCCCCUGGAUGGGGAGACCCAGAGACUGCGGGAGUACUUCAGAGGACAGAACCCUGAGAAAAAGAGCUGGAAAUGAGCUAAUUCCCUGGACUUGAAGCAUCAUCUGGCCAGCCAGCUGUCCACACUUGGGAUAUUUUAGAACACAGUUUGGAAAAUUCUGCCUGAUCUAAUGCAGCGUACAUCACCAUAUCAUCUGGCCAUUUUGGAUUUUUUUUUUACAGGUAUCUCAACUUAGAGAGAAAACAAGGUGUACAGAGAAUAGCAUGCACAUUAUAGAAACCAGAACACAAAGGGAACACAGGUAUGGCUGGAGGUGGCUUGUUGAAUGGAUUAUGAGAUUAAAGUCCUUCCCCUAUGGUAUGCUGGUAAACAUUCAGCCUAGGUUAGGAGUGAAUGAAAGCUUGUGGCCUAUGUGAAAUGAGUUGGUGGGCUCAGUUCAGGUGCCAGUGGACAAGUAUGCACCUCUUAAAUGCGUAACUCCAUUUGGCACAAAAUUGACAUGCUUAUUGAUAAACUUGGCAGAUACCAAGUAAGCACCUGUUUUCUGUCAAUGUCCUGGAUUCCCUUGUCAUUGGGCAUCAGAACAGGAAGCAACACAGAAAUGCAAUUGAGAGUCUUGUUACAAACUGCAGAACUGAAAUCACUGAUACCUGGGUCUAAGCGUUAGAACUGUUUUGGGACAGUGUCUCUGAUGCAAGAGACUGCUCAGCGUGCACCAGCAGUGAGGCUCCCCCACUAACAACUGAAAUCACUGAGACCUGUGUUAAAUGGUGGGACCUGAAGACAUGCCAGGAGUUGACCCUGACACUCCUCCUGUCGGCCCUAUGUAGUAGUGGACCCAAACCAGGUAAUGCCUUUGGGUACUUGGCCCUUUGGUCACUGGCUGGUGUCUAUUAAUUGGCCCUUUUGGAACUUGUGGGUGUUUCUCCAAUGUAGGGACCCUAGUCGAGGCACUCCUACUCGAUGACCUCAAAAGGAAGGGCUCUACCACCUCUUCGGGCCGUCCCCAAACUCCAAUACUGAGGCUAGUGCUGAGUACCAGGAGCCAAUAUGGUGUCACCCAACCGGUGCAAAAAUGAGGAGGAAUGCCCUCAGCCAGUGCCAAUCUCCUCCUCCCCUAACAAAGCCGAGUUCAGGAUGGAGAGACUCCCAAGAUGAAGGACUCCAAAAAGCUGGACCUUUUUGGUAGAAACAUCUACUCAACUGGGGGUCUGCAGCUCAGGAUCACUGACAGCAGGCGCUCCUGAGCAGACAUGACUGCAACAUGCAGGACUUCCUGUUGAAGUUUAAGGACUCUCCCCUCUGGCUCCUCAUCCCCAAAGGAGUGAAACCAGCCCCCCAAUUAUUAUUUCACUUUGGCAAACACACUCCCCACAAUUUGCAGACCUGCAGCAUCGCCAAUAUAUCCCAACAUAGAAGAAAGAAGAAAGCAGCAGACUGAUGAAAAGCUUUGGCUCAACUCAUGCAAUGAAAAAUUGAAAAUUAUGUUAGUAAAAAGGGUGAAGCACACUAAGUGGUCUGAUGCCCUCAGUCACUAAAAUCAAAGGAAGUUCCUCAAAGUGGUCUGGAGUCUCAGAUUUAUGCUGGACCCAUCAUGCUCCUGGACACACAUUGCUGCAAUGGUGAGGAAUGCCUUAUGAUGUCUUAAAAUAUCCAUGAAAUGGUGUUCUUCCUAGCUUCUAGCCAUUGUGAUCAAUACAUUUUUUUCAUCUUCAUGUUAGAGUACUGUGUCUUGCUCUACCCAUCAUUGAACAUAACUUUAUAAGAGGAUUGAUGCAGCACUCAGCAACAUGCCUGAUACCAGCAAAUGGUGACGUGAACACGUCACCUGUGCAUUAAAGUGCAAAUGCAUCCUCACUUAUUUCAGAGCAGAUUUCAAAGUCCUGCCCCUAACCUACAGAUCUCUUAGCUGAAUGGGACCUGACUGCCAGCUUAUUUUCAAAACCUUCCAAGGCUGGGGAUUUCAGAAAAAAACAAACAAAUCUUAUGGUUCAAACCAUCCAUUUAGCUUCACCAAUUGCAACACUAUUAGAAGCCCCAGUGUAAGCAAGGUUCUAGCAGUUUAAUGGGUUUACCAUGUCAAUUGUCCCCUGGGAUCCUGGAAAGAGAAAACAUAAAAUAUUCUGGACUUUCUUUUAUCAACAUUUUGUUCUGUACUUAAAUAUAAUACAAAGGUGAAAGGAACCUUAAAAGCUCCAUAGACUUAGGUGUCAGAUUAGAGGGGGAAAAGGUAGUGGUACUCUUCCACAAAUGCAACUCAGGUGAGAAAUCCAAAUGAGAGACCAUUCGCUGUAGGCUGUGCAGAAAUUCAAAAUGCAAUUAUGUGCUCUCUGAGUUCUGCUUAGCUUCCCCACUCCCUCUUCAGUGGAAUAUGCCCAUGGGCUUGGUUGCUUUCCUUAGGCUUGCCUUCUUGAUUGGGAGAAAAAAUACAGAGUGUCACGGUAAAUUGUGCAGCUCUGUGAUCCUCCCUUUCUUUUCUUAAAUGAAGAUUUAAAUAGUUAAUGUAAAUGUCAAUAUGAUUCUCAGCACUGGGCAUCUGAGUUAGCACCCUACUGAGAUGGAAAGGCAGUUCAUGUGUCUCAGAGCUAUUGUUCUAGGCAUUCUGCAGAUUCUUACAGACACCCCUGUGUUGGCUACCUUUGGGUCACAUUUUUGAGGUUUUCUUCACAUUAUAAAUGACUUGCUGCUUUUAGUGAAAGCUGAGAGUCUAGAGAAGAAGAUGGUCACAUCAGAGAAGUGCCAAUACAGCAUAUGGACUCACACUGACUGUUUCUGAGACCUGCACAGGUUAUAUGGAAGUGAAUAGGAGUGGAGACUAAACUAUCUUCUGAUUCCAAGAGGGGGUCCCAUCCUCUUCAGUGAAGUGUUGAGUCACAUUGGAAGGGCUGCAUAUUAACUUUGCUUGUGUUAUACCUCUUUCAUAGCUAAAUGUACAAUUUCAUUCCCUCAGGGAAUCCACUAGCCCUAAAUUCAUUUUAACUAAUUUGUUUUUGGAAUUUUAUACAAAAUGUAAAAUGGCUGUGGUGAUUCUUGAGAAAAUUAGGAUGCUAUCUUUUUGCCUGACCUCAGGGAAGUAAUAAGAAUAAAAAGUUCACACAUUUCUUAUUUGACAGCGGCAGUUAAAAUGAAAGACGAAUGUCUCUCAUAAGAGUUAGAGGUAAUUGAAAUCCAUAAAAUUCCACACUAAACGGGUUAGAUAUUAAGCAAAUAUAUGCAGGUAAUUUCCCUUUCUUGGGUUCUUGUUUGUUUGUUGUAAAGGUAAAAGUAAAAUGUUAGGUUUAAAAUGUAAGCUUAAAUUUCUAACUGCAGAUCAAUAUUUAUCUGCUUGAGAAGUAUGGCCAAUAGGAAUGUAAUUUAAAUAACAAACAAUAUACUUUGACUCUUAUGCGUACAGUUAAAUGUCAUCUUCUCUUCUGGACCCCUGAGAGACUCUACAAUUGGAGUGUUAUUUUGAUUAUGGGAUAUCUUUAAGUUUUGUUGAUGCCACAGAGAGCAUAUGAGAGGCACCUUUUUCUUGUGUAUGUAUAGAAAUGUAAAUAAAUAAAAGAUUGUGUGGUCUAUUUUCACA
Long non-coding RNA from Chrysemys picta bellii (western painted turtle), 3658 nucleotides. RefSeq lists it as uncharacterized. The record is from RefSeq and is a predicted model, not a curated record. Lineage: Eukaryota; Metazoa; Chordata; Testudines; Emydidae.